Non-coding RNA from Monodelphis domestica (gray short-tailed opossum), 1244 nucleotides. Lineage: Eukaryota; Metazoa; Chordata; Mammalia; Didelphimorphia; Didelphidae. The record is from RefSeq and is a predicted model, not a curated record.
CCCACCAGCCCCCCUCCCCCCCUUGCCACUUGGGCCAGACAGCAAAAGCCACUUCGGCUAAACUUCGUUCUUCAGCGUUACGGGGGGAAAAGGUCCGAGAUCAGACUCGCUCUUGGGAGGGACGGCUAAGGCCAGAGCUUUGGAUCAUCUGUACAUUUGAUAAGCAUGCCAUCUAUGCCUUUAUUCAAAUCACCGAUAAAAACAUUCGACAUCUGGGACACUUCACUAGAGAUCUACUUCCAAAUCACUGAAUCAUUGGGUCCAUUGGAACUUUGGCUGUUUAGGUCUAGUCACUCCACCAGUACUGAAUCCACUUCACCAUACUCAUCUAGUCCACAAAGCCAGACAGGCUCCUCCCCACCUCCAAAGGUCUCCCCAGUGAUGCCUCCUCUGGCGGCCUCCCUCCCUCCUUUGUGUCAAGCCUUGCCCUGUCCCUGCGGUCCCAGGCUUCAGGAAGGUGGCUCCAGUUCUGGCUGGGGGUCCUGGACACGGAAAAGCUCUCCCAUGGGCCAGGCACAGAAGCUGAUCGGGCCACUGUUGUCCUUAAGGCAGAAGAAACGCGGCAGGUUUUUGGUGAGUUUCUCCAGCGAGAUGGCAAGCUCUGGAGGGGGCCAAUCUUCUAGUUUCCAUCGCUUCCCAGUUCAAUAGUUCCAAAUCUAGUGCCCCGCCUGUAGUGAGUCCUCCUUGGGAUUUGCUGGUUAAUCAACACGUCAGUGGCACACAACCACCACAUUCUGUACAUCCUGCCUCUUAACUGCAGCCUGUCGCACUCACGUCACCUAUGUCACAAGUAUGGAGAAGAUUUGAUUUCUGAACAACUUUGUCUGCAUCUCACCUUCCUGCCAACUUCUGCUCUAGUUGGAGGGCUUUUUAGCUGCCUUUUUUACGCUACAACUACAAUCUGUGACACUUGAAAGGUUUGCUAACAAUUGUAAAGUGCUUAGCACAAUGCCUGGCAUUUAAUAAGUGCUAUAUGAAGGUUAGCCGUUACCAUCACUAUCAUUAUCCCUGAGCCUGGCAUGUAGUAAGUGCUAUCCAAAUAUGAGCAGUUGUUAUUAUCUUAUAUUCUCCUUGGGUUUCCGCAGGUCCUCCUCUCCCAGAUACGAAUGACUUGUAAACACAGUGCUUGGCACAUAGUAGGCACAAUUAACAAGUGCCAGUUAAUGAGACUUAUAAAUGAACUAGGGAAACUACUGUUUUAAAAGCAAAACUAACUUUACCCCCAAUAUAAUGGUGAAGCAAAA